RNAcentral lists this ribosomal RNA (486 nucleotides) under uncultured bacterium. Its description in RNAcentral is "partial 16S ribosomal RNA". It matches the Rfam family "Bacterial small subunit ribosomal RNA", at positions 29 to 507 of the family's 1533-position model. The record is from RNAcentral.
AUUGAACGCUGGCGGCAUGCCUUACACAUGCAAGUCGAACGGCAGCACGGGUGCUUGCACCUGGUGGCGAGUGGCGAACGGGUGAGUAAUACAUCGGAACAUGUCCUGUAGUGGGGGAUAGCCCGGCGAAAGCCGGAUUAAUACCGCAUACGAUCCACGGAUGAAAGCGGGGGACCUUCGGGCCUCGCGCUAUAGGGAUGGCCGAUGGCUGAUUAGCUAGUUGGGGGGGUAAAGGCCUACCAAGGCGACGAUCAGUAGCUGGUCUGAGAGGACGACCAGCCACACUGGGACUGAGACACGGCCCAGACUCCUACGGGAGGCAGCAGUGGGGAAUUUUGGACAAAGGGCGAAAGCCUGAUCCAGCAAUGCCGCGUGUGUGAAGAAGGCCUUCGGGUUGUAAAGCACUUUUGUCCGGAAAGAAAUCCUUGGCUCUAAUACAGUCGGGGGAUGACGGUACCGGAAGAAUAAGCACCGGCUAACUACGUG